AUCAAGAUCUCAAAUGAGGUAAGACUACCCGCUGAAUUUAAGCAUAUAAUUAAGCGGAGGAAAAGAAACUAACAAGGAUUCCCUCAGUAACGGCGAGUGAAGCGGGAAGAGCUCAAACCGAAAAUCUCUGUCGCAAGACAGCGAAUUGUGGUCUAUUGAAGCGUGUCUCAGUGUGCAGUCCCGGCCUAAAUCGAUUGGAACAUCGUAUCAGAGAGGGUGAGAAUCCCGUUCUUGGCUGGGUGUCUGCCGCGUUCGAGCCGUUCUCAAAGAGUCGGGUUGCUUGGGAGUGCAGCCCUAAGUGGGUGGUAAAUUUCAUCUAAAGCUAAAUACAUGUGGGAGACCGAUAGCGAACAAGUACCGUGAGGGAAAGAUGAAAAGAACUUUGAAAAGAGAGUUAAAAAGUACUUGAAAUUGCUGAGAACGAAGGGAUGGCGACUAGUAAUGACUCGGGCGAUCCUCGGGCUGCGGUCGAUCUGGUGUUUGUGAUUGCCUAGCUUCACUUGCAUCGGGUGUCGGCUGUGGUUCGGGAUCAGAUCGUUCGGGUCUAGGUCAGGAUGGAUUCGCAGCGGUUGAAACUGGCGGCGGGAAGGUAACUUGGACGUCAAAAUCCUCGAACUUAUAGCCCGCCGUUUAGAGACUGUUGUGGAUUGAGGUGCUGAAGCGCGCGCUCUAAGCUCUUGAUGCGUCGACCGCUG
This 695-nucleotide ribosomal RNA is filed under the name uncultured Basidiomycota. RNAcentral's name for it is "eukaryotic LSU rRNA". It matches the Rfam family "Eukaryotic large subunit ribosomal RNA", at positions 1 to 628 of the family's 3401-position model. The record is from RNAcentral. Lineage: Eukaryota; Fungi; Basidiomycota.